AUUGAACGCUUGCGGCAGGCCUAACACAUGCAAGUCGAGCGAGCGGCGGACGGGUGAGUAAUGUCUGGGAAACUGCCUGAUGGAGGGGGAUAACUACUGGAAACGGUAGCUAAUACCGCAUACCAUCUGAUGUGCCCAGAUGGGAUUAGCUAGUGGGUGGGGUAACGGCUCACCUAGGCGACGAUCACUAGCUGGUCUGAGAGGAUGACCAGCCAGCCUGGAACGGAGACACGGUCCGGAAUCCUACGGGGGGCAGCAGUGGGGAAUAUUGCACAAUGGGCGCAAGCCUGAUGCAGCCAUGCCGCGGGUAUGAAGAAGGCCUUCGGUUUGUAAAGCACUUUCAGCGGGGAGGCGUUACCCGCAGAAGAAGCACCGGCUAACUCCGUGCCAGCAGGCGCGGUAAUUC
RNAcentral lists this ribosomal RNA (406 nucleotides) under uncultured bacterium. Its description in RNAcentral is "partial 16S ribosomal RNA". It matches the Rfam family "Bacterial small subunit ribosomal RNA", at positions 30 to 526 of the family's 1533-position model. The record is from RNAcentral.